CAAUAGCGUAUAUUAAAGUUGUUGCGGUUAAAAAGCUCGUAGUUGGAUUUCUGCCGAGGACGACCGGUCCGCCCUCUGGGUGAGUAUCUGGCUCGGCCUGGGCAUCUUCUUGGAGAACGUAGCUGCACUUGACUGUGUGGUGCGGUAUCCAGGACUUUUACUUUGAGGAAAUUAGAGUGUUUCAAGCAGGCUUACGCCUUGAAUACAUUAGCAUGGAAUAAUAAGAUAGGACCUCGGUUCUAUUUUGUUGGUUUCUAGAGCUGAGGUAAUGAUUAAUAGGGAUAGUUGGGGGCAUUAGUACUUAACUGUCAGAGGUGAAAUUCUCGGAUUUGUUAAAGACUAACUUAUGCGAAAGCAUUUGCCAAGGAUGUUUUCAUUAA
This 380-nucleotide ribosomal RNA is filed under the name uncultured eukaryote. RNAcentral's name for it is "partial 18S ribosomal RNA". It matches the Rfam family "Eukaryotic small subunit ribosomal RNA", at positions 592 to 976 of the family's 1831-position model. The record is from RNAcentral.